GUUCACCCUAUUAUGAUUCAUUUCAAUUGAAUUUAAUGUUCGAAUAUUCUUUGCUGUGAUUUUAUUUUACAAUUAAAUUACUUAGAUAAAAUUAAAAUUCCCUAAAGCUACCUUCUUUUGUAUUCUUGUUUUACUCCACUGUCUUCCUUUCUUUUGUUGUUUUCAAAAGGUUGCAUUCCGUGUGGGAAGCAGUUACUUGCCAUUAGCUGACUUAGCUCUGACAACCCUGGAACGAUGGAUAGAUGCUUUCCCACCUGAAAAAAUCAACCCCUUUUUGAAAGAAAUACUGCCUGCUUGGACUCAUUUUUGAGGAGUAAAGACUUUGAGGGAGACCCAGAAGCUGCCAGUGGUCUUGAUGCAGAAUUUAAGGUCCUAACCUCUGCCUUGCGCAAAUCAAAAAGGAAAAUCAAGAAAAUUCAUGAGAGGCAGGAUACUGAAUUAUUUCGCAUUCAAAAACGCAUUAUUUUGAUGCUAAGCAAAUAGACGUAUCUACAGCCUUGACCAUUUUAAGUGAAGACAGUACACGCUCCAAGUGGAAAUCAACAAAACAAUUGAAGUUCACCAUUCCGUUUCCGGAUUGUCGUUUGAAUUUAUACCUAGAUGAAAUGUUACCAAGAAUUGUUGAAUCUGCAUUAUCAAGUAGUAAUCGCAAAACUAAAGUAGCAGCUAGUGAAUUGUUGCAUGCUGUAGUGUUGGUUCUUCUUGGAAACGAUAAGCAAAUGGCAAAUUUAGAAAGCAAUCAAACAGCCGACGUUUUAAAAGAGCUGAUGCCAGCUUUGCUACAACUAGGCAGUGAUUCUGAUGAGGUUGUUAGGACUUUAUUCCAACAUCUUGUUAGACCAAUGAUGUUUUAUUUCUCCAGUAAAUUCCAAGCCCACACCAACAGUGUCAAGGUGGUUUUGAAGCUCUGAUGGUCAGUAUUUUCAUUCUACUAUUUUUCUUCACUACCAUUUCUACUUUAAUUUCUGCCCACAUGGCUUAUAGUUGCCUCUUUAGAAACUUUAAGUGUGUGUUACUCGUUGGUUCUACGUUUUCAUGGAGAUCUCAAACCAUAUAGAUCGCAACCCAAUAGCACGGUGCAAUGAAAACAUGAAAAUUAAAUUGAGAAUUGAGAAUUGAGAUGCAAUGCAAUGAAAUUGCAAUAUUCUUACAUCAUUUGGUCAAUAAAUGCCAAUUCUAAAUAAUCAACAAAAUGAGUUCCACGUGAUAGAAAGUCCGGCAAUUUGCAAUGCAAUGAUCAAUUACAACUUAUUUCAAUUAAGAGAUGCUCCUUCGAUCGGUGAACAGGUAAUAUACACGAAUUUCCGAUGCAGUAGCUAUAAUUUUACCAUGUAAAUAAUUGCAACUUAUUUUUGGCACUUGGGAAGAGAUUGUUUUGGAAAACUCAAAAAUUUCUAUCACAAGGCCAACAUCUAGACAUUGCUUUAAAACUCAACAUCUUAUGUAGAGAAGUCAGUAUUCUUAAAAAAGCCUACUAAUAUGUUAAAUGAAAACAGUCAAAACUUUAUGCAAAACAUUAUUUAUCAUUUUGUUUAUGCCUGAUGUUUUUAUGAACACAAAAAACAAAUCAAUUUUCAAGACUUGGGACAAGUUUUACAGAUUUUGAGAUGGUCCUGUUAAAGCAAGCCAGCUUUUUUCAGAAAGUUCAAUUACAGUAUUAAAACUGAACCCUCCUUUGCUUUCUUUCAUUUUAGGAUGGUAUUACUAAUCCAACGACUCGGCAGUUAGAGACUUCACAGCCGAAUGCAUCAAAGGUUUUACGCAAGGUGCAAUCAAACAGUCUAAGAGCAGCAAUGAGAAAGUCCUCUUUACAUCAAAGGAAUAAUUUCCCGCAUUAACCUCUACUGCGUUCAUCCUUGCAAGUUUAAAAGACUUGGUUCGUUAUUCGUUCCUCUCCUCAUCACACUUUUUAAUCUCUGAGCACUUUUUUUUUUUGGCAGCCUAAAGUUAUUCUUCUCAAAGACAUGUAAGGAGCAAAGUCACAGAAUUUAACCGCCCCAGUCCUUUAAAAACUGAACUGCUUCUCUGUGGUGGCAUUUGAUUCUAAUUGCCUGGUUGGCCCAUGAUAAGGAAUUUACAAUUGUGUAAUUGGUAG
RNAcentral lists this long non-coding RNA (2095 nucleotides) under Bemisia tabaci. Its description in RNAcentral is "lncRNA ENSSSA3NGG009402". The record is from RNAcentral. Lineage: Eukaryota; Metazoa; Arthropoda; Insecta; Hemiptera; Aleyrodidae.